Molecule: unclassified non-coding RNA, 337 nt
Filed under: uncultured bacterium
Lineage: Bacteria
Description: contains 16S-23S intergenic spacer region
Source: RNAcentral
CUGGACGAAAGAAAUAGAAGAUCGCCUGACGCCGGAGCAUAACGAGGCGCAAGCAUUCGCAUACUGGGUUUGAUUGCCUUAAACGGCGUGGCGUCCGUCGUUGUCAGAGUGUCCUCCGAUAGUACUACCGGAAGUUUCCACAGGCCUGCCUUGGGAUCGGCCAGUGUGGCGAUCACGCGGCGCGGCUUAUCGGCACUGAUCGCAACCGAGAGAUACUGCCCGAACCCCGUACUUGCGCGGCGAGGUCUCCGUUCCUCUACAUCCAUCGCGUACAGCCAUUGCACGGAGCUGUCCUCGGCCAUCGCAGAAUAGAUUAACGUAUUCGAAUCGAGCCAGU